This 1550-nucleotide ribosomal RNA is filed under the name Klebsiella pneumoniae. RNAcentral describes it as "bacterial SSU rRNA". It matches the Rfam family "Bacterial small subunit ribosomal RNA". Lineage: Bacteria; Pseudomonadati; Pseudomonadota; Gammaproteobacteria; Enterobacterales; Enterobacteriaceae. RNAcentral also lists the same sequence under 1 other name. The record is from RNAcentral.
AAAUUGAAGAGUUUGAUCAUGGCUCAGAUUGAACGCUGGCGGCAGGCCUAACACAUGCAAGUCGAGCGGUAGCACAGAGAGCUUGCUCUCGGGUGACGAGCGGCGGACGGGUGAGUAAUGUCUGGGAAACUGCCUGAUGGAGGGGGAUAACUACUGGAAACGGUAGCUAAUACCGCAUAACGUCGCAAGACCAAAGUGGGGGACCUUCGGGCCUCAUGCCAUCAGAUGUGCCCAGAUGGGAUUAGCUAGUAGGUGGGGUAAUGGCUCACCUAGGCGACGAUCCCUAGCUGGUCUGAGAGGAUGACCAGCCACACUGGAACUGAGACACGGUCCAGACUCCUACGGGAGGCAGCAGUGGGGAAUAUUGCACAAUGGGCGCAAGCCUGAUGCAGCCAUGCCGCGUGUGUGAAGAAGGCCUUCGGGUUGUAAAGCACUUUCAGCGGGGAGGAAGGCGGUGAGGUUAAUAACCUCAUCGAUUGACGUUACCCGCAGAAGAAGCACCGGCUAACUCCGUGCCAGCAGCCGCGGUAAUACGGAGGGUGCAAGCGUUAAUCGGAAUUACUGGGCGUAAAGCGCACGCAGGCGGUCUGUCAAGUCGGAUGUGAAAUCCCCGGGCUCAACCUGGGAACUGCAUUCGAAACUGGCAGGCUAGAGUCUUGUAGAGGGGGGUAGAAUUCCAGGUGUAGCGGUGAAAUGCGUAGAGAUCUGGAGGAAUACCGGUGGCGAAGGCGGCCCCCUGGACAAAGACUGACGCUCAGGUGCGAAAGCGUGGGGAGCAAACAGGAUUAGAUACCCUGGUAGUCCACGCCGUAAACGAUGUCGAUUUGGAGGUUGUGCCCUUGAGGCGUGGCUUCCGGAGCUAACGCGUUAAAUCGACCGCCUGGGGAGUACGGCCGCAAGGUUAAAACUCAAAUGAAUUGACGGGGGCCCGCACAAGCGGUGGAGCAUGUGGUUUAAUUCGAUGCAACGCGAAGAACCUUACCUGGUCUUGACAUCCACAGAACUUUCCAGAGAUGGAUUGGUGCCUUCGGGAACUGUGAGACAGGUGCUGCAUGGCUGUCGUCAGCUCGUGUUGUGAAAUGUUGGGUUAAGUCCCGCAACGAGCGCAACCCUUAUCCUUUGUUGCCAGCGGUUAGGCCGGGAACUCAAAGGAGACUGCCAGUGAUAAACUGGAGGAAGGUGGGGAUGACGUCAAGUCAUCAUGGCCCUUACGACCAGGGCUACACACGUGCUACAAUGGCAUAUACAAAGAGAAGCGACCUCGCGAGAGCAAGCGGACCUCAUAAAGUAUGUCGUAGUCCGGAUUGGAGUCUGCAACUCGACUCCAUGAAGUCGGAAUCGCUAGUAAUCGUAGAUCAGAAUGCUACGGUGAAUACGUUCCCGGGCCUUGUACACACCGCCCGUCACACCAUGGGAGUGGGUUGCAAAAGAAGUAGGUAGCUUAACCUUCGGGAGGGCGCUUACCACUUUGUGAUUCAUGACUGGGGUGAAGUCGUAACAAGGUAACCGUAGGGGAACCUGCGGUUGGAUCACCUCCUUACCUUAAAGAA